Long non-coding RNA from Malaclemys terrapin pileata, 4611 nucleotides. RefSeq lists it as uncharacterized. NCBI's taxonomy places the organism in Eukaryota, Metazoa, Chordata, Testudines, Emydidae. The transcript has 2 exons. The record is from RefSeq and is a predicted model, not a curated record.
AUGAAAGUGUGCCUACUCUCAGCCGCAGUAAGUCUGAGAACCGGAGAGGGAUUUAGCAUUCCUCUUUCCACCCCGGCUGACCGGGAAGGGUGUCAGGUGGAUCUACCCCAGUCGUAGCAGGACUGGGCAAUAGAGAAGUUGGAGAAAAGGGAAGAGUUGUGUACUUGAUAACUAGAAUUGAGCAAUUAAGAGCAUAGAUCAUGAACCAGGCAGCAACUCAAACCUACGCCCAGGGCAAGUUGCAAGCCUUGAGACAGGACUUCCAGGCAGAAAAGGAAGCACUGGCUAAGCAAGUACUGGUCCUUCAGGGACUUGUCAGAAUUUAACCAUUUGUUUUUGCAUAUGCUGUAAGAGCAGUGUGUUUGCCACAAGAGAAAAUUGAAUAGUUAAAUGCCAAUGGGUCAUGCGUUUUGCCCAAGUGGCAAGCCUCACGAGGGAGGACUCGGGUAGCCUUGUGAGUAAGAAUGUUUAAGAGAAGAGACCAGGAAGGGUGGGGGCUAGUUGAGAAGCCCACCCUCCUAUCUAAAUUGGUAGUGAAAAAGCUGGUGCCCAUGGAAGGGACGGUUCAGCGAGAAAAGCAGGAUCGGGCCCAAGCGGGCAGGCAAUAGAUAGAGAGAUUGGAGAACAGGUUGGAAACUUUGAGGGCAUAGUGGAAGGAAAGGAGUAAGUAAUUAUAAGCAUGGGGAUUUCAAAUCCCCAGGAUAAUAAUUGAAAUGGUAAAAUGUGUGUAAGACAGAGUCUUUGUACCAAGGUGCAAGGCUCUCCUUUCUUCUGCUGAAUAAAGCAACUCUUCCUUAUCCCUGUCUGGCUGUUAUUGGCUCUCAGCUAGGUGGACCCGAUAUUUUGGUGACAGUUACUGGCGACUCCGGUUAAUGAAUUUCUGUCUUAUACAUUUAGGUGUUAGGUGUGUGGAUGGAACUGAGCCUCUCAUUUGUAAUUCCUCAGAGUGGAAGCCAUCGCGUGCAAUGAAGCUCUGAGGUCGAAUUGGGAUCCUUCUGUCCCGUCCCCUGUAGCGAUCACUGGGUGUUUGAAAGCAGGAGUUAGAAGUAAAAGGCAAUCAAAGUCUGGGAAAGUUAAUUGUGUCCCUUUUUACAUAAGAAUUUUUAAGCUGUGGAUAGCUUUGGAUCUGGAAGCAAGCCAGAAAGCAUCUGUAUUAAUGCAAUUUUUUAACUAAUAAGGUAGAAGCCACUGAAACCUGGGCUGCCUAUGAAACAAAUACAAGGAAAUAUGGGGUAAUUCCUCUGUUUUGUCUAAAAUCAACAAGAGUAUGUGUGUAUAUAAAGGAAAUAUUUUAAGCAAUGACUGACUACCCAGAAGGGGUAGACCUCUGUUCUUUUGUCUUUCAGAUCAUCAGAGAAAACGGAUGCCAGCUGAACAGCAUUCAAUGUACCAUGCAUUUACUGGUACAAUAGGAACUAUUUUUGUGUUCUUUGUCCUGUCUUGUGGUGUUUGUCUUGUGGCCAGAAUUGUUGGGUUUAAUAUUUUCAUAAGACAGUCUAGUUCAAAAUUAAAUAGAAGGGUUAAAUCAAAAAGCAGAUACUUGUUUUUAUUCAACUUGGAAUACAAAAAGUGUUUGGAUAAAUCAGGAAAAUGUGAUAUACUAAAGUCUAAUACAGUUGCUUAAGUAAGAAAAAGAAACUUCAUUGGCCAGAUUUUUUUUUAAUUGAAAAAAUUGUUGUUAAAAUUUGCAUGCCAACAGUCUUUGGAAGCAAGGACAUGGAAGGUUAACCCACUCCCCAUAUUGCCCAUGGGAUCCUUCUGGCUACUUCAGAUUUCUAGCCAGAGGGCUGGGGAGGGAGGAAAGCUAUUGGACACCUGAGGUUGUACCGAGUGGACUCCUCAAAAGUGGGUGUGCUUGUCCUGGUUUGUUGCUCCAAAGCUCUGUAAUAAAGUUAUUUUACUGGAAGGGUGUACAUGGCAUACAUUGAAUAAUAAGACUAAUGUACUGUAUAAUGGCAAUGUGUAUGUGUUCAUUGUUGGGAAAAGGUGUAUGAGUGAAAAGUGGAAGUUUCCUUUGUAGGUUAAAAGAAGCCAAGAAGGGGAGAAGGAAAAAGAACAGAACGAGUUAACUGAGGAAAAAUAGCUAGCAAGCUCAGUCCAAAGAUAAGAUGCUGGCACCAUCCAAGGACACUGCCCACAGCUAAGACUUGGCUGAUAGCCAAGAAAAGGGGGGCCUGAAUGUGCCCAAGCAACUAUGAGAUCUGCAAAACACUGCCAGGCAUUAAUGAAAUGUGUUAGGUUUCUUUUCUCACAGAUAAAAGAAGUGCUACCCAAAGACCCUAGCAGCCCUGCCAUUCAUUGAAACAAGGAGACUGAGUCUAUGUAAAGUCCAUCAACGAAAGACUGCUUUGGCUCCACACUGGAAAGGCCCUUUCCAAGUCCUGUUAACCACCACCACCACCACUGUGAAGUGCCAAGGACUACCUGCCUGGACCCAUGCUUCUCACUGUAAAAAGACCCCUCCACCUCGGGAGGACUCUCCGACUGAUGAUAAGCCUAUUUCUCCUUCUAGCUCUGCUGUGUCUUCUGGACAGCAGGAAAAAGAAAGAAAGAAAAAAAAAAAAGACAAGGUGAAGUGCUAGUAACCUCUCCCUUGUCCACUGACAGACCUACUGUGCCUCUGGAUUUUUCUAGAAGAAGCAAAACCAUUACAGGGUGAUGUGCUAGUAACCUCUCCCCUGUAUGAUGCUAAACCACACUGUUUCAGGAAAAGAGAAGAAGGAACACUUGCUUCACUGAAACCACAAAGUCCAGGGAUUCCUGACUACAAGAGACAUUAAGAACUGACCCUGGUGAAGAAACAAAGAAUUAUACACUGGCAGGAAGAAACUUGUGGGACCCAUGCUUGGGAACGUGGUAUUGAAUAGAUUUUGGGGUUUAUUCUACAGGCUGCGCCCUGUGUUUUGGAUAAGUCCUUCAGCAUGUAUUGCCCUCCCUAAUUGGAUUUUAAAUGAUAAGUACCAAAGGCACCUUGUUGCCAUUGCCCAUGCCAUCUCCUCCAUUACACUAUUACCCCUGUAACACAUCCAAAUACAGACAAUGCCAUAUAUUUGAUAAAACCAAUGACUAAGGCCUUCACACUUUAGUGAUUUAUUUAAAUAUUGUUUGAAAAAAAAAUAUUUUUAAGGUUCAGGAUAUCCCAUAUAAGCGAACAAUUGAAUGGAUCAGUGGAGAUAAAAGUAUAUGAUAUCACUACCAGUGAACCCCAAGAAUUUAUAAUUGCUCACAGGGGGCUGCCAUUAGAUUAGCACAACAGAGGGCUUGGGUUAUUUCCUCUAGAAAGAAGAGAGACUUGACCGGAUCCCUUUGGGAUGGGGCCAAUAAUGCAGCAGCAGUUUGGAAUAUUUUUAAGAACCAAGAACAUGAUGAGAAAUUGGGGCAACUAGAGAAGGCCAUUGGCCUUGUUUCUGGAGCACAACUAACCCAGGUACAGGCUGGAGUUGAUGAGUUACAUGUUAUUUCCGCCCUUAGUUCAAUGACCCAGAAGUUGCUGACAGAGAUGGUAUUGAAUAUCACUGAGGCUGGGAAGGCAUUGCAGUGGGAUCUAGCAUGCUCAGAGAUCCAGGAUUUCUUGAAUGACCAGCUAAUGGCCAUUCGGAAUGAUCUAGAGCACCAGGCUUGGCCCACUGCCCUUACAGACACAUCAGGAGUACCAUCUGAUCUGUGGCCAUGGAGACAUACUUGGAAACUUUCUGGGUGGAAGUGUGGACGUUCUCAGUGCUCCUUCCAAGCAUAUGGACCGGUUCAGGGGGUGUGGGCUCCCACAUACCGAAUCCUGCCGGGUCCAUGGGGAGGAUGCAUGUGGGAUUGGGUAAUUCACCGAGACAUCUGGGAAAUUAGACCUCCUGGUAUGCCCAAUCGAUUUUUAGUCAGUGCUCCUGGGAUUACAUCUGACAUUUGGAUGGGGUUAGGGAGUCAAUGGACAUUUUGGCCGUUACAACCCCCACAGCUUCAGUGUAUCCGUAAACUGAAGCCAGGAGAAGUUGUUACUCUUCAUGACUACGUUUGCUGGGAGGGUAGGGGACAAGGAACUACCCUGACAGGACACUUAUUUUUUAAGCUAAUGAUAGCUGUGUGUAUGUUAAAGCCACCACAUUGCAAGACAUACAUUUUAAUCUCAUUACCACUGCAGGCAAUCAUAUUAUUUACUGGCCUGCAGAUAGAAUUUUGCAAGUAGUCCUUAGGUUCCAGAUACCCUUUAAUUGGACUAGUUUAGUACCUGAUCGAUUUCAAAAUUUGCUUUCACUGUUACCAGAGGUUCAGAAAAUCUCUGAAGUACAAGGGCAAAUUCACAUGCUUCAAAAUAUGUAUCAAGUUAAAAAGUAUGCCUUUCAGACAGCUUAUAGAGUAUCCACCUUAUGUACUAAGUAUGAUGUAUUGUGUUAUAUGACUAAGAUUGUACAACAACCCCAUCAUAUUAUCGCUAUGGGAAUGUUAUUGCUUGUGUUGUGCAGGAGUAUGUUAUUGUUGUUGUAAAGGACGUAAUAAUAGUAAUACCUUUCAUGUCCAUGCUCAUCAUGCAUUGUCAUUACAUCCAAUCAAAACCCCUAAGGUUGAAGCAUCUGAUGUAGAAUCUGAAUUCCGAGAUUUAAUGCAAAUAGAGAUUUGAAA